Molecule: ribosomal RNA, 489 nt
Filed under: Yamadazyma friedrichii
Lineage: Eukaryota; Fungi; Ascomycota; Pichiomycetes; Serinales; Debaryomycetaceae
Description: LSU rRNA
Rfam family: Eukaryotic large subunit ribosomal RNA
Source: RNAcentral
CGAGUGAAGCGGCAAUAGCUCAAAUUUGAAAUCUGGCACCUUCGGUGUCCGAGUUGUAAUUUGAAGAAGGUAUCUUUGGUUUUGGCUCUUGUCUAUGUUCCUUGGAACAGGACGUCACAGAGGGUGAGAAUCCCGUGCGAUGAGAUGCCCAAUUCCAUGUAAAGUUCCUUCGACGAGUCGAGUUGUUUGGGAAUGCAGCUCUAAGUGGGUGGUAAAUUCCAUCUAAAGCUAAAUAUUGGCGAGAGACCGAUAGCGAACAAGUACUGUGAAGGAAAGAUGAAAAGAACUUUGAAAAGAGAGUGAAAAAGUACGUGAAAUUGUUGAAAGGGAAGGGCUUGAGAUUAGACUUGGAAUUUUCCGAUUUAUUGGAGCUUUCCGGGCCAGCAUCAGUUUGGAUGGCAGGAUAAUUGCGUAGGAAAGUAGCACCAUUGUGUAUUAUAGCCUAUGUCGAUACUGCCUGUCUAGACUGAGGACCGCGUCUUGACUAGG